This 415-nucleotide ribosomal RNA is filed under the name uncultured prokaryote. RNAcentral's name for it is "bacterial SSU rRNA". It matches the Rfam family "Bacterial small subunit ribosomal RNA", at positions 505 to 918 of the family's 1533-position model. The record is from RNAcentral.
GUGUCAGCAGCCGCGGUAAGACGGAGGAGGCAAGCGUUAUCCGGAAUUAUUGGGCGUAAAGGGUCCGCAGGUGGCAGUUCAAGUCUGCAGUCAAAGGUCGGGGCUCAACCCCGGAAAGGCUGUGGAAACUGAACAGCUAGAGUACGGUAGGGGCAGAGGGAAUUCCCAGUGUAGCGGUGAAAUGCGUAGAGAUUGGGAAGAACACCGGUGGCGAAAGCGCUCUGCUAGGCCGAAACUGACACUGAGGGACGAAAGCUAGGGGAGCGAAAGGGAUUAGAUACCCCUGUAGUCCUAGCUGUAAACGAUGGAGACUAGGUGUGGCCUGUAUCGACCCGGGCCGUGCCGGAGCUAACGCGUUAAGUCUCCCGCCUGGGGAGUACGCACGCAAGUGUGAAACUUAAAUGAAUUGACGGGG